RNAcentral lists this ribosomal RNA (602 nucleotides) under Helicobacter sp. SB-1. RNAcentral describes it as "bacterial LSU rRNA". It matches the Rfam family "Bacterial large subunit ribosomal RNA", at positions 1068 to 1666 of the family's 2925-position model. Lineage: Bacteria; Pseudomonadati; Campylobacterota; Epsilonproteobacteria; Campylobacterales; Helicobacteraceae. The record is from RNAcentral.
AAAAGAUGUGUGGCUACUCAAACCAACCAGGAGGUUGGCUUAGAAGCAGCCAUCCUUUAAAGAAAGCGUAACAGCUCACUGGUCUAGUGGUCAUGCGCUGAAAAUAUAACGGGGCUAAGAUAGACACCGAAUUUGUAGAUUGUGUUUGACACAGUGGUAGAAGAGCGUUCAUGCCAGCGUUGAAGGUAUACCGGUAAGGAGUGCUGGAGCGGCAUGAAGUGAGCAUGCAGGAAUGAGUAACGAUAAGAUAUAUGAGAAUUGUAUCCGCCGUAAAUCUAAGGUUUCCUACGCGAUGGUCGUCAUCGUAGGGUUAGUCGGGUCCUAAGCCGAGUCCGAAAGGGGUAGGUGAUGGCAAAUUGGUUAAUAUUCCAAUACCGACUGUGGAGCGUGAUGGGGGGACGCAUAGGGUUAAGCGAGCUAGCUGAUGGAAGCGCUAGUCUAAGGGCGUAGAUUGGAGGGAAGACAAAUCCACCUCUGUAUUUGAAACCCAACCAGGCUCUUUGAGUCCUUUUAGGACAAAGGGAGAAUCGCUGAUACCGUCGUGCCAAGAAAAGCCUUUAAGCAUAUCCAUAUUCGUCCGUACCGCAAACCGACACAGGUAG